GACGAACGCUGGCGGCGUGCUUAACACAUGCAAGUCGAACGGAAAGGCCCUGCUUUUGUGGGGUGCUCGAGUGGCGAACGGGUGAGUAACACGUGAGUAACCUGCCCUUGACUUUGGGAUAACUUCAGGAAACUGGGGCUAAUACCGGAUAGGAGCUCCUGCUGCAUGGUGGGGGUUGGAAAGUUUCGGCGGUUGGGGAUGGACUCGCGGCUUAUCAGCUUGUUGGUGGGGUAGUGGCUUACCAAGGCUUUGACGGGUAGCCGGCCUGAGAGGGUGACCGGCCACAUUGGGACUGAGAUACGGCCCAGACUCCUACGGGAGGCAGCAGUGGGGAAUAUUGCACAAUGGGCGGAAGCCUGAUGCAGCAACGCCGCGUGCGGGAUGACGGCCUUCGGGUUGUAAACCGCUUUCGCCUGUGACGAAGCGUGAGUGACGGUAAUGGGUAAAGAAGCACCGGCUAACUACG
Molecule: ribosomal RNA, 466 nt
Filed under: uncultured bacterium
Lineage: Bacteria
Also listed under: 1 other name
Description: partial 16S ribosomal RNA
Rfam family: Bacterial small subunit ribosomal RNA
Source: RNAcentral